AUGCAUGAACAGGAAGGUGUUUUGUGUAAAACUGUGGUCUCCGGAUUAAUAGGCAAAAUUGCAUCUCUGAAAAAAAUACUACACUGGCCUGAAAUUGUCUGGCCCAACAUGAGAAAAAAAAGGUGGGGCGCUGGGGUGGCUCACUUUGGGCUGAGGCCCAGUUGGGAAGAGGCUUGGGCAGGCCGGCUGCUGGGCCUUGAGGAGGGUCGCGGUCCACAUGCGGUCAACGGGCAUAGGAGGUUUGCGAGGGACUCGCUCGCCCUCCUCUCGUACAGGAAGAAGCGGCGGCGGUCUCAGGGAACAGAAGCAGGGAGGUCAUAG
RNAcentral lists this ribosomal RNA (321 nucleotides) under Triticum aestivum (bread wheat). RNAcentral's name for it is "partial small subunit ribosomal RNA". Lineage: Eukaryota; Viridiplantae; Streptophyta; Magnoliopsida; Poales; Poaceae. The record is from RNAcentral.